Molecule: non-coding RNA, 290 nt
Organism: Sus scrofa (pig)
Lineage: Eukaryota; Metazoa; Chordata; Mammalia; Artiodactyla; Suidae
Source: RefSeq, a predicted model, not a curated record
UGGGACUAGAGGCCAAACCAAUAGUCUCGCUGUUGGAGGGGGUGAUUUGGAGAGCAUCCUGGGAAGCAAGUCGUUUCUGGAAAGCCGUGAGGGAAAACAAGGCAGAAAUAAAAAGGCCUAUUUCCCAUAGGACUUCGCCCCAGCCCUGAGUUAUUUCAUCUCCCUGUCAUUCCUGAGGGUGGCCCUGAUUCCUCCUUCACUGAGAAGGGCAGCUCACACCAUGGCAACUGGCUUCCACUGGAUGAAGAAGCAAGAGAAGGCACAGCAUGCAGAAGUUCCCAGGUCAAGGA